This is a long non-coding RNA of Daphnia pulex (common water flea), 457 nucleotides long. RefSeq lists it as uncharacterized. The transcript is spliced from 3 exons. The record is from RefSeq and is a predicted model, not a curated record. NCBI's taxonomy places the organism in Eukaryota, Metazoa, Arthropoda, Branchiopoda, Diplostraca, Daphniidae.
UGGACAUAUUUCUUGUUGAUAAUCUUUGUACGACAUCUAUUUGAAGUAAAAAUUAACAACCAGACUUUUCUUAUCACCAGGUGGUAGCUACCAAGGAAUGCGUCGCGUAGUAGAGGCGACAGGAGGCAGGAAUGCAGUAGAGGCAGCUAUAGAAGCCGGCGGAUUAUGAAGCUCACAUUUGCGAUGUUUUUGGAAUUUCGUCCGUCCGUCCGUGACACAACUGCAGUCACUCGCCACGGGAUUAUGCCAAGAUCCGAGAGUUUCUGUCUACAUUUAUGAGAAGUUUCUGGAUGUCCUUUCAAGAAAAAGGACGAGGACUAUACGGUCAACAAGAUCCCUGUUUACUAAAACCCGUAGGCUGCUACCCUUUGAUUUCCAUUUUUACUUACUUACAACUUACUUCUUGAUUUGAGGGUAAUCCUUCGCUACUGAUCAUGGACUCCAUUUGUGAAACUGA